GGUUCGGUAGCUCAGUUGGAAGAGCGCUCGUCUGAAAAGCGAGAGGUCGGCGGUUCGAUUCCGCCUCGGGCCA
RNAcentral lists this transfer RNA (73 nucleotides) under Acidimicrobiaceae bacterium. RNAcentral describes it as "tRNA-Phe". It matches the Rfam family "tRNA". From Rfam's summary of the family: Transfer RNA (tRNA) molecules are approximately 80 nucleotides in length. The record is from RNAcentral. Lineage: Bacteria; Bacillati; Actinomycetota; Acidimicrobiia; Acidimicrobiales; Acidimicrobiaceae.